Molecule: ribosomal RNA, 624 nt
Filed under: Staphylococcus aureus
Lineage: Bacteria; Bacillati; Bacillota; Bacilli; Caryophanales; Staphylococcaceae
Description: partial 23S ribosomal RNA
Rfam family: Bacterial large subunit ribosomal RNA
Source: RNAcentral
GGAGGCGCUCAAAGGUUCCCUCAGAAUGGUUGGAAAUCAUUCAUAGAGUGUAAAGGCAUAAGGGAGCUUGACUGCGAGACCUACAAGUCGAGCAGGGUCGAAAGACGGACUUAGUGAUCCGGUGGUUCCGCAUGGAAGGGCCAUCGCUCAACGGAUAAAAGCUACCCCGGGGAUAACAGGCUUAUCUCCCCCAAGAGUUCACAUCGACGGGGAGGUUUGGCACCUCGAUGUCGGCUCAUCGCAUCCUGGGGCUGUAGUCGGUCCCAAGGGUUGGGCUGUUCGCCCAUUAAAGCGGUACGCGAGCUGGGUUCAGAACGUCGUGAGACAGUUCGGUCCCUAUCCGUCGUGGGCGUAGGAAAUUUGAGAGGAGCUGUCCUUAGUACGAGAGGACCGGGAUGGACAUACCUCUGGUGUACCAGUUGUCGUGCCAACGGCAUAGCUGGGUAGCUAUGUGUGGACGGGAUAAGUGCUGAAAGCAUCUAAGCAUGAAGCCCCCCUCAAGAUGAGAUUUCCCAACUUCGGUUAUAAGAUCCCUCAAAGAUGAUGAGGUUAAUAGGUUCGAGGUGGAAGCAUGGUGACAUGUGGAGCUGACGAAUACUAAUCGAUCGAAGACUUAAUCAAAUU